AAACCUCAGCGAUGGAUAUCUCGGCUCUUGUAACGAUGAAGAACGCAGCCAACUGCGAAAAGCACUGCGAAUUGCAGAACACCGUGAGUCAGUAGAUCUUUGAACGCAACCGGCGCCCUCUGGGCAUGUUUGCUUCAGUGCCU
Blepharisma stoltei is the source of this 143-nucleotide non-coding RNA. Lineage: Eukaryota; Ciliophora; Heterotrichea; Heterotrichida; Blepharismidae. The record is from the annotation of a GenBank genome assembly.